CCUUCUCUCACAGGAAUGCCAAUGAGUCAUAGGUUUGGUCUCUUUAGAGAAUCUAUUUCUCAAAGGCUUUGUUCAUUUUUUUAAGUCAUUUUUCUUUAUUUUUGUCUAACUGGGUUGAUUCAAACGGCUAGUCUUCAAGCUCUGAAAUUCUCAGCUUGGUCUAAUCUGUUGUUCAGGCUUCCACUGUAUUUUGAAAUUCCUGUAGUGAAUUUUUCAAUUCCAGAAGUUCAGUUUGAUUAUUUCUUAAACUGGCUAUGUCAUCUUCCAACUCUUGUAUCAACAACUGGCUUUCUUGGAUUGAAUUUCAACUUUCUCUCGAAUCUUGAGCCUCCUUGCCAUCCAGAUUCCUAAUUCUAUGUCUGUCAUUUCAGACAUUUCAAUUUGGUGAGGAUCUAUUGCUGCGGAGCUAGUACAAUACUUUAUAGUCUAGGUGUCUCCACUGAACUCCAGACUUGUAUCAACUGCAUACUCAAUGUCACCACUCAGAUGAUAAAUUUGCAUCUCAAACUUAAUGUCUGAAAAGGAACUCUUGAUUCGGCUGCAUACUCCCACCAAGUUAGCUCCUUGCACAACCGUCUCCAACUUGGAAAAUGGAAGCUCCUGUUUUGCAGUUGCUCGAGCCAAAAAUCUUGAGAUUUUCAACACUGAAGUGAUAACAUGUGAACUGUGGAAAGGAAGGGGGUGAAGGGUGGAGCCAGCAGGAGGACUGUGAUCUUCAGAACCCUGUCACCAAUAUGAGAACUACCUCAGGCUAGCCUGCUGGAAGAUAAGAAACAACAUGGACCAGAGCCAAGUCAUCCUAGCCAAGGCUAUCCUAGACCAACCAACACAGCCACAUUCUCAGCUGAUCACAGAUGCAUGAGCAAGCCCAGCCAAGAUCUGCAGAACCACCCAGAGAAACCCAUAGACUCAUGAAAAAUCAUAAAUGUUUGUUGUUUAAGCAACUAAGUUUGGGGAUGGUUUGUUACAUACUAGUAGUUAACUGAUACAAACAACCAUGCUGGACCACUAUACUAUAUUUUCCUUCAAAUGAUACUGGCUUCACUUGACUCUAGGAUCCUCCAGGAAUGGAUAGCUCCAGCUGUGAAGAACCUUCCUUUAGACUAUCACCUCAUUGCUCCUCAUCCCUGUCUUACCCCUGCCCCUACCAUUAUGCCAACCCAUAAAGGCAGUUAUAAUUAUUCCUCACCUUUAUUCCUUAGUUUUUUCUGGAGUAGAGAGGAAACCAGGGUGCCUCAACUCUAGCACAAUUUUGAGCUCUGUUUCCUUGCCUACUUCUUUGCCCAUCUCUCCAUCAUUUAGGAGGUGGGUUGGAAUUAGCCACAGUCAGUUGUGCCAAAAUAAUAUACCAGGGUAAUGAGAAGAAGGCACAGAUAGCGCUGGGAAUCAACCCCUCGCACCUUUGGCCUGUCUCUCAGGGUGAGCUUCUUACUCAGUAGUGGUGGGGACCCAAAGUCCCUGAAGGCAUGCUCCUGCUUUGUCACCUGAUCCCCAAAUGAAACCUUGCAAAGCUAAAUUCUCCCUGCCUGCCAGGACUCAGGCAGGGGGCAGCAAGCAGUACCUACAUAGGACUGAAUGGCCCCAGCUGCUCAACUCGAAUUUAAAAAUAAUUUGGCAAUGUGUUCCACAGAGUGAAAGCCUUCUGGGGCAUUUCUGCCAGAUGCCUCCAGCUACUGGGUUCCCACGGAAAGGGAGUGUCAAGUCCUGGGCCCAGAAGAUAUUCUGGGGAUCUGGAACAGGGUACAUACUGAAGGCAAUCCAUUAAAAAUGGGAUUAGAAAUCUCUCAAAGAAAGAAAAAGAUACAUAAAACAUAACUGUUUUUCUAUUGGAAUAUUUUAAAACUUUUUUUUUGCUAUUAGGCACUCAAUAAAUGCUAAAUGAUGCUAAUUCUUCUAGCACUUCUUGCUUUAUGAGUGAAGCUUGGAUCGUGGGGAUUCAUUGCUCAAAAGGCCAAUAGCUAAGUGACCUGGGUUGGUGAAGAGAAACCAAUACUCCCCAGGGCAAAUCCAGCCUCACUGUGCCAUUAAACACUCAGCACCCCUCACUCAUUACACUUCAACAAUAGUUUAGUUUUAAUUUCUUUCCUUUAUAUUUCACAGCCCUAAAGGAAAAUGUCCUGUGACAAUUCUGUAAUAGUGAGACAAUUACUGGUGACUCAGGGCUCCCUGCUGCCUCUGCAUCUCACAGCGGAGGAGCAGGCAGAGACUACUGCUUCCCAUAUAGGAACAAUUUGGUUUGUGAAUUAGGAAAGUCAGCAUCAAAAGGAAUCUUAAAAAAAAAAAUGCCUAUGUAAGAUAAAAAUUUAGCCCAAGGAUCCUAUUUCAGGAUGAGAGUCGAUUGUAGGCACUGAGUCCCUGAGGAAGCUCUUCAAAUAGACACACAAAUAUUUCAAGCAGUGACUUGCCCAUCUGCCCCACUACCCACAGCAUCCAGGCAGUCCACAAGGAUCCAGACCCUGGGUUCCCAAAAAUCUGAUUUCUCCUUUUUGUUAUCCAAACUCUCUCCGUUUCACCUUUACCGAUAAAUGAGGAGGAGGCAGUAAACUGAUGUGCUCCUUGACAGCAAAAACUCUGUCAUCUCUGCAACUCAAGCACCCAACCCAAGCCUGAGUCUGGACGAACAAAGUUUAAGGCGUCCUAGGGUAGAGGACAAGGGCAUUCCCAAGUUCCCAGUGGAUUGUGCUCCAAAGCUCUUUUGUAAACUGGUAGUUUCGAACUUGGAAAGCAUUUUCUUUUUCCAUAAGUAUAAAGCUCUAGAGGAAGCCUAAGUCCUUAGACUAGGUCAUACAGCUCUAUUUAGCCACAAAAAUCUAAUAAUGCAUCCAAAGUAGAGAACUUCAGC
This 2842-nucleotide long non-coding RNA is filed under the name Homo sapiens (human). Its description in RNAcentral is "HSALNT0042882". Lineage: Eukaryota; Metazoa; Chordata; Mammalia; Primates; Hominidae. The record is from RNAcentral.